RNAcentral lists this ribosomal RNA (515 nucleotides) under uncultured Nitrosomonas sp. Its description in RNAcentral is "bacterial SSU rRNA". It matches the Rfam family "Bacterial small subunit ribosomal RNA", at positions 39 to 555 of the family's 1533-position model. The record is from RNAcentral. Lineage: Bacteria; Pseudomonadati; Pseudomonadota; Betaproteobacteria; Nitrosomonadales; Nitrosomonadaceae.
GCGGCAUGCCUUACACAUGCAAGUCGAACGGUAGAGGGGCAACCCUUGAGAGUGGCGAACGGGUGAGUAAUAUAUCGGAACGUGCCCAGUCGUGGGGGAUAACGCAGCGAAAGCUGCGCUAAUACCGCAUACGAUCUGAGGAUGAAAGCGGGGGAUCGCAAGACCUCGCGCGAUUGGAGCGGCCGAUAUCAGAUUAGGUAGUUGGUGGGGUAAAGGCCUACCAAGCCGACGAUCUGUAGCUGGUCUGAGAGGACGACCAGCCACACUGGGACUGAGACACGGCCCAGACUCCUACGGGAGGCAGCAGCGGGGAAUUUUGGACAAUGGGCGCAAGCCUGAUCCAGCAAUGCCGCGUGCAGGACGAAGGCCUUCGGGUUGUAAACUGCUUUUGUACGGAGCGAAACGGUCUGGGUUAAUACCCUGGGCUAAUGACGGUACCGUAAGAAUAAGCACCGGCUAACUACGUGCCAGCAGCCGCGGUAAUACGUAGGGUGCGAGCGUUAAUCGGAAUUACU